RNA transcript from Strongylocentrotus purpuratus (purple sea urchin), 1621 nucleotides. RefSeq lists it as uncharacterized. Lineage: Eukaryota; Metazoa; Echinodermata; Echinoidea; Camarodonta; Strongylocentrotidae. The transcript is spliced from 5 exons. The record is from RefSeq and is a predicted model, not a curated record.
ACAGAACAUUAUAUAUCAAGUUACAGAACCGUUAAUUGUAGACUUGUAAUUAUUAACCAGAACUGUUGCAAGUAUAUAAGCAAAAUUUACCAUGAUGGAUACAAUUGAAUUUAAGAAAACACUUGAUGAAAUCAUGAAUAUACUGACUAGUUGUGCAUUGGUGACCAACCCAGAUCUUAAUGAAUGCUGUAUCUGUAACAAUGAAAUCAAAGAAAAUGAAAGUGAUGCAAGAUGUGACUGUUGUAGUAAGCAUUUUCAUGUGACAUGUAUGGGAUUCCCUUGUGAAGACAGACUGAGUGACCUGACAUUGAUCUGGAUUUGUUCAUUUUGUGGCAAUAACAACAUGGCUCAUCGCAUGUUUGAUCAAGUAUGCAUCCCUUCUCAUUUCAAUAGAUACGAACUUCUUGGUGAUCAUGAUGAACACUGUUACUUGGAUUUGAACCAAUCAAGGACCCUAUCAAGUACGACCAACAAAAGAAAAUGUGGCAGAUCAAAGAAGAGAUCAAGGAUUUGCGAAAGUACAGAGUUCAUGCUGGUGGCAAGAAAAAAGAAGCAAAGAACAAGAAAGGUCGAGCAAGGAACAAGAAAGAUGUUUCAGAUGGUGUACAAGAAGAUGCAGUGUUUGACAAUGACCUGGAGAAUAGAAGCUUUGAUACAGUAAAAGAUGAAGCAGUCGAGGUUUCCUGAGUUGUAACGGACACAGUGUUGUACUUCGUACUCAAAGCUGGCAAGGUGUGUACAAGCAUUGCAUGAGAUUAAGGAUUGUCGACCUGAUCCGUAUAUUGAAGUUGGAACAUUCCAUGAACCUUGCAAAGUGCUCAUUUUUUGACUGGGUUGGAGUAGGAGACAAGGUACUUCACGGUGGAAACCAUCACUCUGAAGAAGACACUCAAAUCAGAGAUCAAGCUUGAACGUGACAAUGAAACAUGCAAGUAUUUAAGUAAAGACUCUACAAAAUAAUUAAUCCAUCCUAACUUUUAUAACUUUUAUAACUUUUAUAACUUUUAUAACUUUUAUAACUUUUAAACUUUUAAACUCUUUUUUUGCCAUAAUGUCACUAUGCUUUUCUAAUUCUUUAUCAGUAAAAAUUUCGGUAUUUUAAUAAGCUGGGAAUUGCCUCGACAGAACCUUUAUUUGGUUCUUUUGCAAUUUCCAUUUCAUGUACAUUAUCUAUUUCCUUGAUUUCUUACUCUUGUCUUUACUUCUCUUUUUAAUUGUGUGUUUAAAGUUCAAUGUAUACUGUGUAUCCUACAUGUAAAUAUGUUGUCAAUGUACAAUGUUUUUCAAUGUACUUUUUUUAAUGGACUUGAAUAAAAUAAAAUUUAAUUUAAUUGAAUUGAAAGAAGAGGUUGAUAUCAUGGUUAUAUAUGGAAUAUCAAAAUGGGAAGGUUAAUGAUAAUGAAAGAAUACUAAUAUCGGGACGCAAUGCUGGAAUGUUAUUGUUUGGUAGUGAUAAUGCGUUUUAGUUGAGUAGGUUAUUCACUAUGAUGUAAGUUGUUUGAGUCAAUGAAAAUUGGAGUACGACCAGUACGAUUAAAUCAUAUUUAGUACGAUAAUAAGAGUGAAAUACGAUCUUAAAAUACAAUUUUUAAUCUUUUUUCCCCAAAAAAAACAAACACGG